GCGUCCGUAGCUCAAUGGCAGAGCAGCCGGUCUCUAAAACCGGACGUUGAGGGUUCAAGUCCCUCCGGACGCA
Molecule: transfer RNA, 73 nt
Filed under: Planctomycetaceae bacterium SCGC AG-212-F19
Lineage: Bacteria; Pseudomonadati; Planctomycetota; Planctomycetia; Planctomycetales; Planctomycetaceae
Rfam family: tRNA
About the family: Transfer RNA (tRNA) molecules are approximately 80 nucleotides in length.
Source: Rfam by way of RNAcentral